GACGAACGCUGGCGGCGUGCUUAACACAUGCAAGUCGAACGGAAAGGCCCUGCUUUUGUGGGGUGCUCGAGUGGCGAACGGGUGGGUAACACGUGAGUAACCUGCCUUUGACUUUGGGAUAACUUCAGGAAACUGGGGCUAAUACCGGAUAGGAGCUCCUGCUGCAUGGUGGGGGUUGGAAAGUUUCGGCGGUUGGGGAUGGACUCGCGGCUUAUCAGCUUGUUGGUGGGGUAGUGGCUUACCAAGGCUUUGACGGGUAGCCGGCCUGAGAGGGUGACCGGCCACAUUGGGACUGAGAUACGGCCCAGACUCCUACGGGAGGCAGCAGUGGGGAAUAUUGCACAAUGGGCGGAAGCCUGAUGCAGCAACGCCGCGUGCGGGAUGACGGCCUUCGGGUUGUAAACCGCUUUCGCCUGUGACGAAGCGUGAGUGACGGUAAUGGGUAAAGAAGCACCGGCUAACUACGUG
This 468-nucleotide ribosomal RNA is filed under the name uncultured bacterium. RNAcentral describes it as "partial 16S ribosomal RNA". It matches the Rfam family "Bacterial small subunit ribosomal RNA", at positions 28 to 507 of the family's 1533-position model. The record is from RNAcentral.